Molecule: ribosomal RNA, 254 nt
Filed under: uncultured bacterium
Lineage: Bacteria
Description: partial 16S ribosomal RNA
Rfam family: Bacterial small subunit ribosomal RNA
Source: RNAcentral
UACGGGGGGGGGCAAGCGUUGUUCGGAAUUACUGGGCGUAAAGGGCUCGUAGGCGGCCAACUAAGUCAGACGUGAAAUCCCUCGGCUUAACCGGGGAACUGCAUCUGAUACUGGAUGGCUUGAGAUUGGGAGAGGGAUGCGGAAUUCCAGGUGUAGCGGUGAAAUGCGUAGAUAUCUGGAGGAACACCGGUGGCGAAGGCGGCAUCCUGGACCAACACUGACGCUGAGGAGCGAAAGCCAGGGGAGCAAACGGG